This 436-nucleotide ribosomal RNA is filed under the name uncultured bacterium. RNAcentral's name for it is "partial 16S ribosomal RNA". It matches the Rfam family "Bacterial small subunit ribosomal RNA", at positions 29 to 507 of the family's 1533-position model. The record is from RNAcentral.
GCGAACGCUGGCGGCAGGCUUAACACAUGCAGGUCGAGCGGGCAUCCUUGUGGUGUCAGCGGCAGACGGGUGAGUAACGCGUGGGAACGUGCCCUUCGGUUCGGAAUAACUCAGGGAAACUUGAGCUAAUACCGGAUACGUGCGAGAGCAGAAAGGUUUAUCUGCCGAAGGAUCGGCCCGCGUCUGAUUAGCUAGUUGGUGAGGUUACGGCUCACCAAGGCGACGAUCAGUAGCUGGUCUGAGAGGAUGAUCAGCCACACUGGGACUGAGACACGGCCCAGACUCCUACGGGAGGCAGCAGUGGGGAAUAUUGGACAAUGGGGGCAACCCUGAUCCAGCCAUGCCGCGUGAGUGAUGACGGCCUUAGGGUUGUAAAGCUCUUUUCUCCGGGACGAUAAUGACGGUACCGGAGGAAUAAGCCCCGGCUAACUUCGUG